This 35-nucleotide non-coding RNA is filed under the name Trichobilharzia regenti. Lineage: Eukaryota; Metazoa; Platyhelminthes; Trematoda; Strigeidida; Schistosomatidae. The record is from RNAcentral.
GCUGACGAGUCGCAAAUAGGACGAAAUGCGCAUCC